ACACCUCAACUCUCGUGGUUUGCCACGAUGAGCUUGGACUUUGGGGGUCUUGCUGGCCUAUGGUUGGCUCCUCUUAAAUGAAUCAGCUUGCCAGUGUUUGGUGGCAUCACAGGUGUGAUAACUAUCUACGCUUGUGGUUUUCUGCCAGGUAACCUUCAGUGAUGGAGGUUCGCUGGGGCUCACAAAUGUCUCUCCUCAGCGAGGACAGCUUUUUAAC
Molecule: unclassified non-coding RNA, 217 nt
Filed under: uncultured Tomentella
Lineage: Eukaryota; Fungi; Basidiomycota; Agaricomycetes; Thelephorales; Thelephoraceae
Description: partial internal transcribed spacer 2
Source: RNAcentral